Molecule: ribosomal RNA, 406 nt
Filed under: uncultured bacterium
Lineage: Bacteria
Description: bacterial SSU rRNA
Rfam family: Bacterial small subunit ribosomal RNA
Source: RNAcentral
ACGCCUAACACAUGCAAGUCGAACGCAGUAGCAAUACUGAGUGGCAAACGGGUGAGUAUAAUGUGGGAAUCUGCCUUUUGGUUUGGAAUAACACGGGGAAACUUGUGCUAAUACCGGAUAAGCCCUUACGGGGAAAGUUUUAACGCCGAAAGAUGAGCCUGCACUUGAUUAGCUAGUUGGUAAGGUAAAAGCUUACCAAGGCAACGAUCAAUAGCUGUUCUUAGAGGAAGACCAGCCACAUUGGGACUGAGACACGGCCCAGACUCCUACGGGAGGCAGCAGUGGGGAAUCUUGCACAAUGGGGGAAACCCUGAUGCAGCGAUGCCGCGUGAGUGAAGAAGGCCCUUGGGUUGUAAAACUCUUUCGUCGGGGAAGAAAAUGACUGUACCCGAAUAAGAAGGUCCGG